GACGAACGCUGGCGGCGUGCUUAACACAUGCAAGUCGAACGGUAAGGCCCCUUGGGGUACGACGAGUGGCGAACGGGUGGAGUAACACGUGAGCAACCUGCCCUUCGACUCCGGAAUAACAGCUGGAAACAGCUGCUAAUACCAGAUACGACUCAGUGCGACAUCGCAUCGAGUGGAAAGCCCUGGCGGUCAAGGAUGGGCUCGCGGCCUAUCAGCUUGUUGGUGAGGAACGGCUCACCAAGGCUUCGACGGGUAGCCGGCCUGAGAGGGCGACCGGCCACACUGGGACUGAGAUACGGCCCAGACUCCUACGGGAGGCAGCAGUGGGGAAUAUUGCACAAUGGGCGAAAGCCUGAUGCAGCAACGCCGCGUGCGGGAUGACGGCCUGGU
This 390-nucleotide ribosomal RNA is filed under the name uncultured bacterium. RNAcentral describes it as "bacterial SSU rRNA". It matches the Rfam family "Bacterial small subunit ribosomal RNA", at positions 28 to 420 of the family's 1533-position model. The record is from RNAcentral.